Molecule: non-coding RNA, 46 nt
Filed under: Trichobilharzia regenti
Lineage: Eukaryota; Metazoa; Platyhelminthes; Trematoda; Strigeidida; Schistosomatidae
Source: RNAcentral
GUGCUGAUGAAGAGUCCCAAACUAGGACGAAACAGCUGUCCUGUAG